UAAAAUAAAACAUUAAAAGGAAAGAUACAGAGGAUAUUAGCAUGGCCUCUGUGCAAGGAUGACAUGCAAAUUCAUGAAGCAUUCCAUAUUUUU
This 93-nucleotide small nuclear RNA is filed under the name Suricata suricatta (meerkat). Lineage: Eukaryota; Metazoa; Chordata; Mammalia; Carnivora; Herpestidae. The record is from RNAcentral.